GCAAAGAGCUUCUGCAGAGAGGCAUACACUGAUUUAGCAACAGUUCACAAUUCAUCAGAUAUGAAUAUUUUGAUCGCUUUAGUUCUGGAUACUAGAGCAAGAGCCUGGAUAGGACUGGAAUUUGGGAAUGUAUCAAAGUGGCAUUGGUCCAUGCCUGAUCACAAAGUAGACUUCUUUAGUUGGAAAGAAGGAGAACCACAAAAAUCUACUCAAGACGCUUGUGCAGCAAUGGAUCCAACUGGCAAAUGGUUUGAAAGUGACUGCAAUACCAAGAGAAAAUUUGUUUGUCAUGGUAAUGGUAGUGGUCCCAUUUUCAUUGCAAAGACCAAUUCAUGGAGGGAUUCUCAGAAUAUUUGUAGAGACUUAUCUUCUGACCUGGUUAGCAUACACACAGCUGGAGAAAAUGAGGCAGUGCACAAUGUAUCCCUGUUGGAAAAUGUAUGGAUUGGCCUCUUCAAAGAUCCGUGGAAGUGGUCUGAUGGAAGCAGCUCAUCGUUCCGUUACUGGAAACCCAACCAAACCUAAUUAUCUUAAAAAUGACCAUUGUGUUGCUGCCGUAUUCAAAGAUAAAGGGCAAUGGAAUGACUUGAAAUGCAAUGUCAAACAAAAACUUAUUGUCAUGGGGCAAUUAAAUCAAAACCAACGUUAACAACCACCAAAUGGGCAAAACCUCAACAAACCUUUACAACAGGACAAAUGCAAACAAACCCGACAACCCAGCUGACCAAUGUGAUCACCCCAACUCAACAAUCAGCCACCAACCAUGUAACCACCAAACCAGAAAUAACCAUCAAUGAAGUGCCAACAGGAAAAACCAC
Long non-coding RNA from Thalassophryne amazonica, 818 nucleotides. RefSeq lists it as uncharacterized. The transcript is spliced from 3 exons. NCBI's taxonomy places the organism in Eukaryota, Metazoa, Chordata, Actinopteri, Batrachoidiformes, Batrachoididae. The record is from RefSeq and is a predicted model, not a curated record.